GGAGGAAAGCAGGGGAUCGCAAGACCUUGCGCUCAUUGAGCGGCCGAUGCCUGAUUAGCUAGUUGGUGAGGUAAAGGCUUACCAAGGCGACGAUCAGUAGCUGGUCUGAGAGGACGACCAGCCACACUGGGACUGAGACACGGCCCAGACUCCUACGGGAGGCAGCAGUGGGGAAUUUUGGACAAUGGGGGAAACCCUGAUCCAGCCAUGCCGCGUGAGUGAAGAAGGCCUUCGGGUUGUAAAGCUCUUUCAGCCGGAACGAAACAGUCACGGAUAAUACCCGUGACUACUGACGGUACCGGAAGAAGAAGCACCGGCUAACUACGUGCCAGCAGCCGCGGUAAUACGUAGGGUGCGAGCGUUAAUCGGAAUUACUGGGCGUAAAGCGUGCGCAGGCGGUUUUGUAAGUCAGAUGUGAAAUCCCCGGGCUUAACCUGGGAACUGCGUUUGAAAUAGAAAGCUAGAAGGGC
Molecule: ribosomal RNA, 470 nt
Filed under: uncultured beta proteobacterium
Lineage: Bacteria; Pseudomonadati; Pseudomonadota; Betaproteobacteria
Description: bacterial SSU rRNA
Rfam family: Bacterial small subunit ribosomal RNA
Source: RNAcentral